AGUCUUCUGCUCUCCUGGACAGGGUGACAAUCAGCAUAAAAGCUCUUUAUAUCCUGCUGGAUGUAUAUCCUGGUAGAAAAGAAGCCAGUCUUCGAUGUUUUAAACCUUAAGCCAUCUCUUAGGAGCUACUAAUGUGACAAUAUCCAGCUACAGAAUGGAUUGACAACAUGAAGGAAUACCCACAACUUCUGCGAAACAGAAACAGAUUUUUUUUUAAAUCAGGAGUCUGAUUUUUCCACAGCCAUGGUUUGCCAAUUAGAGCUGCCCAUUCUG
RNAcentral lists this long non-coding RNA (273 nucleotides) under Anas platyrhynchos platyrhynchos (common mallard). RNAcentral describes it as "lncRNA (ENSAPLG00000018727.1)". The record is from RNAcentral. Lineage: Eukaryota; Metazoa; Chordata; Aves; Anseriformes; Anatidae.